This 956-nucleotide long non-coding RNA is filed under the name Junco hyemalis (dark-eyed junco). Its description in RNAcentral is "lncRNA (ENSJHYG00000004443.1)". The record is from RNAcentral. Lineage: Eukaryota; Metazoa; Chordata; Aves; Passeriformes; Passerellidae.
UGUUGCUGGAGGCUUAGUUCUGUCUAGCAUGUCGCUCUUCCUUUCUUUCUGUUGCCUUUUGUAUAAUGGAUGUGACUGCUGUCAUCUGAAUUGUUUACUGCAUGAAAGAUAUAUUCUUCUUUGUGCUCCAGUCUCCAGAGCCAUCCCCAGCCGAGUGCAAGGUGAUGUACUUUUUGUCCAGUGCACGUCAUGGUGAGGGAUGAGGCAUGAGUCACUUCCCCUGUGGGCAGCGAUGACUGACUGCCUCUGCUGCCUGUGGAGCUGCCACACCAGGGCUGGGCACACGAGGAGUCACCGCCUCCAAUCAGCUCUCUGAUGACGACACGAUGUAAAAGCAGUUUAUUAAGCUGCAAGAUGAAAGACUUUUACAGCUCAUUAAGGAGGAAAGCUCAUAAGAAGUUUCUUCUUUGUAAGUCACUGGCACAGCAAGGAAUCAGAGGAACACAUUAUGGAUGUAGCGACACGCCUUUAGCUGCACAGUGCCCUAAAACUGAGCGCAUAGCAAGGGUUCAUCUCCCUGAAUUCUGUAACUCAAAGACAAGGUUCUAAUUCCAGGACACUGCUGCAUGCAGUUGAAUCAAUGGUGGUCACAGCAGAUUCCUGACACUGUGAGAAAGGAUUCUGCUCUUCUGCUGCUGCAUGGUCUUCAUACGGACCUCCAAACUGAGCUGAACUUCUGCAAAGCAAGAAAGGACAAUAUUUUAUUUAAAAAUAAACAAAGCAGCAUUGAUGGUUGGACUGAAACCCAGUGGAGAGAGAUUAAUGUGGAACAGAUGGAUGUGCAGCUCAGAAGGUUUGCCAAGGCAGGUUCCACAGCCAUCUAUUUCUGCAAUUUGUCUGUCUCAGUGCCACCCCUUCCUCACUCUUCCCACCCACUUGGAUGUUUGAGUGGGUUUAUUAUUCAUGUCCAAGCUGAAUGUUCUGGAUCAUGCUUUGCUUUGGGGGCUUUCCUUUAA